UUUUAGCAACGCCAGUAAAGAAUCUUCCACAAUGGACGAAAGUCUGAUGGAGCAACGCCGCGUGAGUGAUGAAGGUUUUCGGAUCGUAAAACUCUGUUGUUAAAGAAGAACAAGUGUUAGAGUAACUGUUAACACUUUGACGGUAUUUAACCAGAAAGCCACGGCUAACUACGUGCCAGCAGCCGCGGUAAUACGUAGGUGGCAAGCGUUGUCCGGAUUUAUUGGGCGUAAAGCGAGCGCAGGCGGUUUUGUAAGUCUGCUGUGAAAGCCCUCAGCUCAACUGAGGAAGUGCAGUGGAAACUACAAAACUUGAGUACAGAAGAGGAAAGUGGAACUCCAUGUGUAGCGGUGAAAUGCGUAGAUAUAUGGAAGAACACCAGUGGCGAAGGCGGCUUUCUGGUCUGUUACUGACGCUGAGGCUCGAAAGCAUGGGUAGCGAACAGGAUUAGAUACCCUGGUAGUCCAUGCCGUAAACGAUGAAUACUAGGUGUUGGAGGGUUUCCGCCCUUCAGUGCCGCAGCUAACGCAUUAAGUAUUCCGCCUGGGGAGUACGACCGCAAGGUUGAAACUCAAAGGAAUUGACGGGGGCCCGCACAAGUGGUGGAGCAUGUGGUUUAAUUCGAUGCUACGCGAAGAACCUUACCAGCUCUUGACAUCUUCUGCCAACCCAAGAGAUUGGGCGUUCCCUUCGGGGGGAACUAGGCC
RNAcentral lists this ribosomal RNA (705 nucleotides) under Apilactobacillus kunkeei. Its description in RNAcentral is "bacterial SSU rRNA". It matches the Rfam family "Bacterial small subunit ribosomal RNA", at positions 340 to 1036 of the family's 1533-position model. The record is from RNAcentral. Lineage: Bacteria; Bacillati; Bacillota; Bacilli; Lactobacillales; Lactobacillaceae.